Molecule: non-coding RNA, 284 nt
Organism: Pelobates cultripes (western spadefoot toad)
Lineage: Eukaryota; Metazoa; Chordata; Amphibia; Anura; Pelobatidae
Source: the annotation of a GenBank genome assembly
CUCCAAACUUCCUGUAUGAAUGUAUAAUCACAUAGUGAGUGAAUGCUAGCUUCAACCUUGUUCCCAAAAUCUAUAAAACAAAUUAUUUAGUCUGUUAGACGUGAAGACACUUCUCGAUCCUCAGGAUUCAUGGCCCUUUUCACUAAACUGUACCUUUAGCAGUUCAGAUACAGCUUGAGAAAGUAUUGUAUUCAUUAGUCAUGUAGAUAUGUAUUUACUUUUAUUUCCCUUAAAAUCUGCAUGGAGGGGGCGGAGCUAACGGCCGAACUGACAAGACGCAUGGC